CCUUCCGUGUUUCGCUCAAAGGUGUAGGCAGUUUCCAAGGGGGUAGUCCCGAUACUCGCUAUUUCGCUUACGUCAGAGUACAGUAGUACUCGCUGUUUGGAUUACGUCGGAAAGUUUUGCACCAAAUACGGCUUACGUCAGAGCAAAAUGCUCCCACGAUUGGUAGAGUGUUGCGGCAAAAUACAAGAUUACACCGACAACAAAUAUGUAACGGAUAAUGACCGAGGCCUGGGAUUUCUUCUGAAUACAACCCAGAGAUGAGGGCUUUGGCUCAGCUAAGGAGGACAUGAAGUGAACAGAGUAUGAUUUGAUGGUUCUGAGUAAAAAACAGAUAACAUAUUUUUGAGACCGAAGCAGCAGCCGGUGUUAGCUCCAGUGACACCAACUUUUUGUUUUUUAGCAUUUAAACCACAUGCUGGUGACAUUGGAAACAAUGAAAAAAAAUGACUAAUUAUUGUAAUUAAAAUACAA
Molecule: long non-coding RNA, 471 nt
Organism: Mizuhopecten yessoensis (Yesso scallop)
Lineage: Eukaryota; Metazoa; Mollusca; Bivalvia; Pectinida; Pectinidae
Exons: 3
Source: RefSeq, a predicted model, not a curated record